Molecule: ribosomal RNA, 337 nt
Filed under: uncultured archaeon
Lineage: Archaea
Description: partial 16S ribosomal RNA
Rfam family: Archaeal small subunit ribosomal RNA
Source: RNAcentral
CGGAAAACUGGGGAUAAUACUCUAUAGACGAUGGAGGCUGGAAUGCUCUGAAGCCGAAAGGUCCGCCGCCGUAGGAUGGGUCUGCGGCCGAUUAGGUUGUUGUUGGGGUAACGGCCCAACAAGCCUGUAAUCGGUACGGGUUGUGGGAGCAAGAGCCCGGAGAUGGAUUCUGAGACACGAAGCCAGGCCCUACGGGGCGCAGCAGGCGCGAAAACUUUACAAUGCGGGAAACCGUGAUAAGGGAACUCUGCGUGCCCGUUAAAUCGGGCUGUCCAUCAGUUUAAAAAACUGGUGAAGAAAGGGCCGGGCAAGACCGGUGCCAGCCGCCGCGGUAAUA